UGCUAGACCAGUUGAGUUCCUGCGCCCUUCUCUGUGCCUGUUGCAUACUGAUUGCUGGUUUUUGCCUUUGUUUUGCUUUGGCAGAUUCCUGCCUGCUAUGUGACCAUCUCCUCCUUCAGUUGUGAUUCCAAUGAUGCAUCGCAUUGUCCCCACAGAAACAAAAUUCUUUUUUUGCCACUCGUCAGGGUCGGUAAUGAAGUGGCCAUUUCGCAAACUCAAGAAGAUUCCCUCUUCAGCCUCCCCUCAUCAAGUUUAGAAAUCUGAGCCUACAGUUUCAGCAAUCAUCUGUCCCUAGGCAGAUCUCUGGUUUCAGUUUGCACUGAUCACAGAAUGUUAAUCUUCCCACCCAUUUACAUUUUCUCCAGAAUUAAUUUACAAAAUGUAUACACCCACUUAUGGGCAUUUCUCUGUGUGAAACCACUCACACUGUUGCAUCCAACAGAUUCCCUCACUUGCUCUCACCUCCAAACCUCCCACACAACUGACCCUGCAUGUCUUGUGUGUUGCCUACUCACUCACCCAGGGCUACUCACCAGAAACAUAAAGAGCAAUGGCAACUGCUUUUAUAUCAAUCAAUCCCCGCCUUUGUCUCAUUAUUGGAGAAAAUAACCCCAAGAAGGCAGAAAGAAGCAAAAGUCGUUAGGAAGCGGUGGCUUCUCAACCCCAGUGAGGAGAGUAAUCUGGUACUCUGGCACUGGACAGUGCAGACUGUGCCUGCUCCUGAGGUGAUGCCACAGCUCCUUGCAACCAAGCACAAUGGAAUCUGCACGUUCUCCACAGUCAAGAGGGUCACCUCACAAGAUAAUCUCCACCUUCAGUUUUGCAGGAAAAGCC
This is a non-coding RNA of Chiloscyllium plagiosum (whitespotted bambooshark), 834 nucleotides long. NCBI's taxonomy places the organism in Eukaryota, Metazoa, Chordata, Chondrichthyes, Orectolobiformes, Hemiscylliidae. The record is from RefSeq and is a predicted model, not a curated record.